AGAGUUUGAUCAUGGCUCAGGACGAACGCUGGCGGCGUGCCUAAUACAUGCAAGUUGAACGCAACAUAAACACCAGAGCUUGCUCUACCGUUUAUGUUGAGUAGCGAACGGGUGAGUAACGCGUGGGUAACCUGCCUUAUAGCGGGGGAUAACUAUUGGAAACGAUAGCUAAUACCGCAUAACAAUGUUAGAUGCAUAUUUAACAUUUGAAAGUACCAAUUGGUACACUAUGAGAUGGACCCGCGUUGUAUUAGCUAGUUGGUAGUGUAAUGGACUAUCAAGGCGAUGAUACAUAGCCGACCUGAGAGGGUGAUCGGCCACAUUGGGACUGAGACACGGCCCAAACUCCUACGGGAGGCAGCAGUAGGGAAUCUUCGGCAAUGGACGAAAGUCUGACCGAGCAACGCCGCGUGAGUGAAGAAGGUUUUCGGGUCGUAAAACUCUGUUGUUAGAGAAGAACGUUGAUUAGAGUGGAAAAUUAAUCAAGUGACGGUAUCUAACCAGAAAGGGACGGCUAACUACGUGCCAGCAGCCGCGGUAAUACGUAGGUCCCGAGCGUUGUCCGGAUUUAUUGGGCGUAAAGCGAGCGCAGGUGGUUUAAUAAGUCUGAUGUAAAAGGCAGUGGCUCAACCAUUGUGUGCAUUGGAAACUGUUAGACUUGAGUGCAGUAGAGGAGAGUGGAAUUCCAUGUGUAGCGGUGAAAUGCGUAGAUAUAUGGAGGAACACCGGUGGCGAAAGCGGCUCUCUGGACUGUCACUGACACUGAGGCUCGAAAGCGUGGGUAGCAAACAGGAUUAGAUACCCUGGUAGUCCACGCCGUAAACGAUGAGUGCUAGUUGUUUGGGGCUAUCCAGCCCUAAGUGGCGCAGCA
RNAcentral lists this ribosomal RNA (871 nucleotides) under uncultured bacterium. RNAcentral describes it as "bacterial SSU rRNA". It matches the Rfam family "Bacterial small subunit ribosomal RNA", at positions 8 to 853 of the family's 1533-position model. The record is from RNAcentral.